RNAcentral lists this ribosomal RNA (488 nucleotides) under uncultured bacterium. Its description in RNAcentral is "partial 16S ribosomal RNA". It matches the Rfam family "Bacterial small subunit ribosomal RNA", at positions 28 to 507 of the family's 1533-position model. The record is from RNAcentral.
GACGAACGCUGGCGGCGUGCUUAACACAUGCAAGUCGAACGGAAAGGCCCUGCGUUUGUGGGGUGCUCGAGUGGCGAACGGGUGAGUAACACGUGAGUAACCUGCCCUUGACUUUGGGAUAACUUCAGGAAACUGGGGCUAAUACCGGAUAGGAGCUCCUGCUGCAUGGUGGGGGUUGGAAAGUUUCGGCAGUUGGGGAUGGACUCGCGGCUUAUCAGCUGGGUGGUGAGGUAGUGGCGUACCAAGGCUUUGACGGGUAGCCGGCCUGAGAGGGGGAUCGGCCACACUGGAACGGAGACACGGUCCAGACUCAUACGGGAGGGAGCAGUAGGGAAUCUGCCGCAGUGGGCGGGAGCCUGACGGAGCGACGCCGCGUGAGUGAUGAAGGGCUUCGGAGCGGAAAACUCUGUUAGUAGGGAAGAACAAAUGUGGAAGUAACUAUGCACGUCUUGACGGUACCUAAUCAGAAAGCCACGGCUAACUACGUG